RNAcentral lists this ribosomal RNA (253 nucleotides) under uncultured bacterium. RNAcentral's name for it is "partial 16S ribosomal RNA". It matches the Rfam family "Bacterial small subunit ribosomal RNA", at positions 524 to 776 of the family's 1533-position model. The record is from RNAcentral.
UACGAAGGGGGCGAGCGUUGUUCGGAAUUACUGGGCGUAAAGGGCGCGUAGGCGGCUUCAGAAGUCAGGUGUGAAAGCCUUGGGCUUAACCCAAGAAUUGCACUUGAUACUCUGUGGCUGGAAUGCAGGAGAGGUUGGUGGAAUUCCCAGUGUAGAGGUGAAAUUCGUAGAGAUUGGGAAGAACACCAGUGGCGAAGGCGGCCAACUGGCCUGUGAUUGACGCUGAGGCGCGAAAGCGUGGGGAGCAAACAGG